UGGGGAAUUUUGGACAAUGGGGGCAACCCUGAUCCAGCCAUGCCGCGUGAGUGAUGAAGGCCUUCGGGUUGUAAACCGCUUUUGUCGGGGAAGAAACGCUUCAGGCUAAUACCUCGGAGUAAUGACGGUACCCGAAGAAUAAGCACCGGCUAACUACGUGCCAGCAGCCGCGGUAAUACGUAGGGUGCAAGCGUUAAUCGGAAUUACUGGGCGUAAAGCGUGCGCAGGCGGUCGUGCAAGACAGAUGUGAAAUCCCCGGGCUUAACCUGGGAACUGCAUUUGUGACUGCAAGGCUGGAGUGCGGCAGAGGGGGAUGGAAUUCCGCGUGUAGCAGUGAAAUGCGUAGAUAUGCGGAGGAACACCGAUGGCGAAGGCAAUCCCCUGGGCCUGCACUGACGCUCAUGCACGAAAGCGUGGGGAGCAAA
This 425-nucleotide ribosomal RNA is filed under the name uncultured bacterium. Its description in RNAcentral is "bacterial SSU rRNA". It matches the Rfam family "Bacterial small subunit ribosomal RNA", at positions 355 to 772 of the family's 1533-position model. The record is from RNAcentral.